GUCGACGGAACCUUCGGGUUUAGUGGCGGACGGGUGAGUAACGCGUGAGAAUCUGCCUUCAGGACGGGGACAACAGUUGGAAACGGCUGCUAAAACCCGAUGUGCCUACGGGUGAAAUAUUAAUAGCCUGAAGAGGAGCUCGCGUCUGAUUAGCUAGUUGGUAGGGUAACGGCUUACCAAGGCGACGAUCAGUAACUGGUCUGAGAGGAUGACCAGUCACACUGGGACUGAGACACGGCCCAGACUCCUACGGGAGGCAGCAGUGGGGAAUUUUCCGCAAUGGGCGCAAGCCUGACGGAGCAAUACCGCGUGAGGGAGGAAGGCUCUUGGGUCGUAAACCUCUUUUAUCAGGGAAGAACACAAUGACGGUACCUGAUGAAUCAGCAUCGGCUAACUCUGUGCCAGCAGCCGCGGUAAUACAGAGGAUGCAAGCGUUAUCCGGAAUUAUUGGGCGUAAAGCGUCCGCAGGUGGUUUUGAAAGUUUGCUGUCAAAGCGCGAGGCUCAACUUCGUAUCGGCGGUGAAAACUUCAAGACUAGAGUUUGGUAGGGGUCACGGGAAUUCCCAGUGUAGCGGUGAAAUGCGUAGAUAUUGGGAAGAACACCAGCGGCGAAAGCGCGUGACUGGGCCUGAACUGACACUCAUGGACGAAAGCUAGGGGAGCGAAAGGGAUUAGA
This 676-nucleotide ribosomal RNA is filed under the name uncultured cyanobacterium. RNAcentral's name for it is "bacterial SSU rRNA". It matches the Rfam family "Bacterial small subunit ribosomal RNA", at positions 61 to 782 of the family's 1533-position model. Lineage: Bacteria; Bacillati; Cyanobacteriota. The record is from RNAcentral.